GACGAACGCUGGCGGCGUGCCUAAUACAUGCAAGUCGAACGCUGAGGACAGGAGCUUGCUCUUCUUGGGUUAGUUGCGGACGGGUGAGUAACGCGUAGGUAACCUGCCUGUUAGCGGGGGAUAACUACUGGAAACGAUAGCUAAUACCGCAUAACAUGGAUUAUCGCAUGAUAAUCCAUUGAAAGGUGCCUAUGCAUCACUACCACAUGGACCUGCGUUGUAUUAGCUAGUUGGGGGGGUAACGGCUCACCAAGGCGACGAUACAUAGCCGGCCUGAGAGGGUGACCGGCCACACUGGGACUGAGACACGGCCCAGACUCCUACGGGAGGCAGCAGUAGGGAAUCUUCGGCAAUGGACGGAAGUCUGACCGAGCAACGCCGCGUGAGUGAAGAAGGUUUUCGGAUCGUAAAGCUCUGUUGUAAGAGAAGAACGAGUGUGAGAGUGGAAAGUUCACACUGUGACGGUAUCUUACCAGAAAGCGACGGCUAACUACGUG
This 497-nucleotide ribosomal RNA is filed under the name uncultured bacterium. RNAcentral describes it as "partial 16S ribosomal RNA". It matches the Rfam family "Bacterial small subunit ribosomal RNA", at positions 28 to 507 of the family's 1533-position model. The record is from RNAcentral.